RNAcentral lists this ribosomal RNA (598 nucleotides) under [Eubacterium] sulci. RNAcentral's name for it is "bacterial SSU rRNA". It matches the Rfam family "Bacterial small subunit ribosomal RNA", at positions 520 to 1119 of the family's 1533-position model. Lineage: Bacteria; Bacillati; Bacillota; Clostridia; Peptostreptococcales; Anaerovoracaceae. The record is from RNAcentral.
GUAAUACGGAGGGUGCGAGCGUUAAUCGGAAUAACUGGGCGUAAAGGGCACGCAGGCGGCUAUUUAAGUGAGGUGUGAAAUCCCCGGGCUUAACCUGGGAAUUGCAUUUCAGACUGGGUAGCUAGAGUACUUUAGGGAGGGGUAGAAUUCCACGUGUAGCGGUGAAAUGCGUAGAGAUGUGGAGGAAUACCGAAGGCGAAGGCAGCCCCUUGGGAAUGUACUGACGCUCAUGUGCGAAAGCGUGGGGAGCAAACAGGAUUAGAUACCCUGGUAGUCCACGCUGUAAACGCUGUCGAUUUGGGGGUUGAACUUUAAGUUUGGCGCCCGUAGCUAACGUGAUAAAUCGACCGCCUGGGGAGUACGGCCGCAAGGUUAAAACUCAAAUGAAUUGACGGGGGCCCGCACAAGCGGUGGAGCAUGUGGUUUAAUUCGAUGCAACGCGAAGAACCUUACCUACUCUUGACAUCCAUGGAAUCCUGUAGAGAUACGGGAGUGCCUUCGGGAACCAUGAGACAGGUGCUGCAUGGCUGUCGUCAGCUCGUGUUGUGAAAUGUUGGGUUAAGUCCCGCAACGAGCGCAACCCUUAUCCUUUGUUGCC